RNAcentral lists this non-coding RNA (949 nucleotides) under Gobius paganellus (rock goby). RNAcentral describes it as "partial 12S ribosomal RNA". It matches the Rfam family "Bacterial small subunit ribosomal RNA". The record is from RNAcentral. Lineage: Eukaryota; Metazoa; Chordata; Actinopteri; Gobiiformes; Gobiidae.
CAAAAGCUUGGUCCUGACUUUACUGUCAGCUAUGAUUAAAUUUAUACAUGCCAGUAUCUGCGUCCCUGUGAGAAUGCCCUACCUGCCCCCGACCGGGAAAGAGGAGCUGAUAUCAGGCAUAACUCUGUGUUAACCCACGACGUCUUGCUAAGCCACACCCCCAAGGGAAUCCAGCAGUAAUAAACAUUAAGCGAUAAGUGUAAACUUGACUUAGUUAAUAUCAAGAGGGCCGGUUAAACUCGUGCCAGCCACCGCGGUUAUACGAGAGGCCCAAGUUGACGAAAAUCGGCGUAAAGCGUGGUUAAUGAGACCAUAACUAAAGCCGAACGCCCUCAAGGCUGUUAUACGCCCCCGAAGACAGGAAGUCCCGUCACGAAAGUAGCUUUAACCAUCAUGAACCCACGAGAGCUAGGGAACAAACUGGGAUUAGAUACCCCACUAUGCCUAGCCGUAAACAAAAAGGGCCUUUUACCCCGCCCUUCGCCAGGGAACAACGAGCCCCAGCUUGAAACCCAAAGGACUUGGCGGUGCUUUAGACCCCCCUAGAGGAGCCUGUUCUAGAAUCGAUAUUCCCCGUUCAACCUCACCCCCUCUUGUUUAUACCGCCUAUAUACCGCCGUCGUCAGCUUACCCUGUGAAGGAUUAAUAGUAAGCAAAAUUGGCAGAGCCUAAAACGUCAGGUCAAGGUGUAGCGUACGAGGGGGGAAGAAAUGGGCUACAUUUGCUGACCCAGCAAACACGGACGUUGCACUGAAACGUGCAGCUAAAGGAGGAUUUAGCAGUAAGGAGAGAAUAGAGCGCCCUCCUGAAGAUGGCCCUGAAGCGCGCACACACCGCCCGUCACUCUCCCCCAGAAAACCAAAACAAAUAAAUAAUAAUACAACCAGACACCAAGGGGAGGCAAGUCGUAACAUGGUAAGUAUACCGGAAGGUGUACUUGGAAAACCCC